AACUUCCAUAGUUGUCAAAAUCGUACGAUUCGCGAUUCGAAUCGUACGAUUCGGUUCGAUACGGGUUAAAAUCGAUUCGAACCGAUACUGGGAAUCGAAAAUGAUAAGAAUCGUGAACGGAAUCGAUCGAAUCGAUUCAAGAAUCGAUGAAUCGUACGAUACAUACGAUUCGCUUACGAUUCGCGUACGGCGGGCCCAAAAGUCAAAAAACAUAUUUUUGGGGGGGUUUUCCGUGAUUUCUUCGCACAAAGUGGGUCGAAACUCACUUAAAAACACUCGACGGCAACUAAUUUGAACUGGGUCCAACCUCAUUCCAUCAUCUAGGGUUUCGAAAGAUGCUAACAUGCGUUUUUCAUUAUUGAUCUGCUCUCCAAUCUUGAUUUCGACCUUCAUCUGCUCUCCAAUCUUCACCGUGGAUCUGCUAUUUGCUUCGGUUCUUGGAAGAUUAGGAUUCGAACGAACCUGUUCAUUGCGUAUUGACUGUUCACUGUAGUCGAACAGGUUUCUCUCUCUCUCUCUCUCUCUGCUCUGUUUUUUAUGGGUAAAAAGUGGAGUAUAUGCGUGGGUUUUGUAGUUGAAAUAGCUGGAAUGCAGGAUGGCUGGACCACCAUAUUUAAUAUGCUUAUAUGCCUUUUGAGUUUUGUCCACUUUCAAGACAUGUUUUUUACUUUUUUGACUGAUUCCACCCUUAUACAGUGAUACACUUUAUAGAAUAUAGAGUAUUAUAUGUGCUCCACUUGGACAGUUGGGCCACCAAAUUUAAUAUGCCUUUUGUCCACUUUCAAGACACGUUUUUUUUUACAGUUUUUUUACUUUCUUUGUGACUGAUUCCAUUAUACACUUUAUAGAGUAUUUUACACACUCAUAAAGAUAUGACACUUGUAAACCAGUCACCAUUAAUGCUUUUGAUAGUAUUUUAUUGUUUUGGUAUUAUUAAAUUUGAGUUUUAGUUUGUGACUUAGACAAUAUGGCGAAAAAGAAAGGGGGUAAACCUAGCAAUGUUCAAGACCCUACAUGGGAACAUUGUGCUCGGGUUAGUGAGGACAAUCGAAUGCAUUUAAUGUGCAAUUAUUGUGGUCAAGCUUUUUGGGGUGGGGUCAUUCGCAUGAAAAAUCACUUGGCGGGAACUCACAACGAGGUAUGCGAAUGUCCUCAAGUUUCCGAGGAAGUUAAAGAUUUUUUCCUUGAGUAUCUAAAAGGGAAGAACAAAAAAAAAGCCGCGAAGUUGGAAUGUUUUGAUGAGGAGGAAGAUGUGGGAGUUAAUUCCAAAAGUAAGGGGACGAUGGAUGCUUAUGUUACCAAAGGCAAGAAGAAAGCGAAACAACUUUGAAUGAAAUGGUAAAGAAGAGGAAACCCGUGAUUAGAGAUAUUUGUCAGUUUUUCUACAAGAACGCCAUAGCUUUCAAUUGUGUUAAAUGCCCUACAUUUAAGAGAUUGGUAGCUUCAAUUGGUGAAUAUGGGAGAGGGUUAAAACCCCCUACUUAUCAUGAGGCUAGGGUGUCAUACUUGAAAAAGGAGGUGGAUCUUGUGAGAGAGGGAUUAGAGGUGUAUAAAAAAGAAUGGAAGAAAACGGGUUGUACCCUAAUGUCCGAUGCAUGGAGCGAUGGCAAGUAUAGAAGCAUUACAAAUUUUCUUGUCAAUAGUCCACGGGGUACCGUUUUCCUCAAAUCUAUUGACACAUCCGGCAUUAUCAAGAAUGUGGAUAAUUUGUGUGACUUGCUUGAUGACCUGGUGAAAGAAAUUGGAGAAGAGCAUGUAGUCCAAGUGGACCGAUAGUGCAUCGGCUUAUGUAAGUGCCGGGCAAUUGCUAAUGGAGAAAAGGCCUAAUUUGUUUUGGAACCCUUGUGCCGCUCAUUGCCUUGAUUUGAUGCUUAGUGACAUUGGCGAGUUUGCAGUCUUUAAGGAUACCUUAGCAAAAGCAAAGGAAGUCACUGUGUUCGUCUAUAGGCAUCAAUGGGUACUUGACAUGUUUAGAAAAUACACAAAAAAGAUGGAAUUGGCACGACCGGCAAUUACUAGAUUUGCUACCUCUUAUCUCACCUUGAAAAGAUUUGAUGACUUAAAGAUUCAAAUUAGAGCUAUGUUUGCAUCGGUGGAGUGGUCUACAAGUUCUUAUGGUAAUAGUGCGGUGGGGAAAAAAGUGGAAAGCAUAAUUUUAGAUGAUCAUGGAUUUUGGAAAGCAAUCAAAUUUUGCAUGAAGUGUGUUUUGCCUUUGGUUAAAGUAUUGAGGCUUGUGGACGGUGAUUCCAAGCCAGCCAUGGGGUACAUUUAUGAGGCUAUGGAUAGGGCGAAAGAACAAAUCGCCAAAAACUUGGGGGAACAAAAGAGAAGGUAUGAGAAAAUAUGGAAUGUCAUUGAUACGAGAUGGGAUUAUCAACUCCAUAGACCCCUUCAUGCGGCGGCUUACUACCUCAAUCCCGGGUUUCAAUAUAGUGAAACAUUUAAAGCCGAUAGAAAAGUUAGAAAGGGCUUAUACACCACCAUCGAGAGGAUGUACCCGGAUAUGGACACAAGGAUUAUCAUUGACGAGCAACUAGAGAAGUUCAAAAAUUCCGAGGGUAUGUUUGGUAUGGACAUGGCCAAGUUGACAAGAGAUAAGAAGUAACCCGCAUUAUGGUGGGAGAGUUUUGGAGAAGAGUGCAAGAAGCUCCAAAGGCUAGCAAUAAGAGUGCUAAGCGGCACUUGUAGUGCAACUGGAUGCGAAAGAAAUUGGAGCAUAUUUGAUAUUGUACACUCAAAAAGGAGGAACCGUUUGGAAACUCAAAGGAUGAAUGCAUUGGUGUUUGUAAAAUACAACAUUCAACUUGAGUUGAGGCAAGAGAAGAGGCAAGAGAGGGGUGAUACAUAUGAUCCAAUUUGUUUAUCUGAUAUGGAGUCCGACGAUGAAUGGAUCACUGAAAAAGAAGGUCCAGUACUACCCGAAGAUCAUUCAUGGAUGGACAUUGAAGAGUGCUUUAAAGAUGAUGGAACAGUUGGGAAAAAGAGAAAGAGAGGGCCGAGGAACUUGAAUGCUUAUGGCCGAAAAAAAGGAAAAAAGAAAGCAAGUCAGUUGGAUGAUGAAGAUGAAAUUGAAGUGCUUGAUGACAAUGAAGUCAUUGAACUCGAGGGAGAGGAAGAGGAAGAGGAAGAGGAAGAAGAGUUUGAUGAAGCGACUAUGGCGGAUGAUAAUGAUGAUGAUGAUGUGGAGGAACUUGACCUUGAAGAUGAUUGAGGAAUGAUCAAUCAAAACUAUCUUAGAGCUUAUUUACUAGUUUAAUUGUGUUCGAAACUUUGAAUGUUCUUUUUUGAUGCAAGUUGCAAGUACUAUCGUUAUUUGCUAGGGCUUACGUUACGCUAUUAAGUA
Rhododendron vialii is the source of this 3343-nucleotide RNA transcript. RefSeq lists it as uncharacterized. Lineage: Eukaryota; Viridiplantae; Streptophyta; Magnoliopsida; Ericales; Ericaceae. The record is from RefSeq and is a predicted model, not a curated record. The transcript is spliced from 4 exons.